UGAGUCGGCCGGGCGGCCGCGGCAUCUCACGAUGUCGAGGAAAGUCCGGACUCCGUAGAGCGACGGUGGUGGCCAACAGCCACCCACGGCGACGUGCGGGACAGUGCCACAGAAAUCAAACCGCCAGCGGCCUUCGGGUGCGGGUAAGGGUGAAACGGUGAGGUAAGAGCUCACCAGCGCUCCGGGUGACCGGGGCGGCUAGGUAAACCCCACCGGGAGCAAGACCAAGAGGACCUUCGGGUCUGCGCUGACGGGCUGCUCGUCCAAUGUCAGCGGGUAGGUCGCACGAGGCGUUCAGCAAUGGACGUCCCAGAUGGAUGGUCGCCCACGACAGGAUCCGGCUUACAGGCCGGCUCAUUCG
Molecule: RNase P RNA, 361 nt
Filed under: Aeromicrobium panaciterrae
Lineage: Bacteria; Bacillati; Actinomycetota; Actinomycetes; Propionibacteriales; Nocardioidaceae
Description: RNase P class A
Rfam family: Bacterial RNase P class A
About the family: Ribonuclease P (RNase P) is a ubiquitous endoribonuclease, found in archaea, bacteria and eukarya as well as chloroplasts and mitochondria. Its best characterised activity is the generation of mature 5'-ends of tRNAs by cleaving the 5'-leader elements of precursor-tRNAs. Cellular RNase Ps are ribonucleoproteins.
Source: RNAcentral